CGGCAGCAUAGGUGCUUGCACCUGAUGGCGAGUGGCGAACGGGUGAGUAAUGCAUCGGAACGUACCCAGGAGUGGGGGAUAACGCAGCGAAAGUUGCGCUAAUACCGCAUACGAUCUACGGAGGAAAGUGGGGGACCUGCAAGGGCCUCAUGCUCGUGGAGCGGCCGAUAUCUGAUUAGCUAGCUGGUGAGGUAAAAGCUCACCAGGGCGACGAUCAGUAGCUGGUCUGAGAGGACGACCAGCCACACUGGAACUGAGACACGGUCCAGACUCC
RNAcentral lists this ribosomal RNA (274 nucleotides) under uncultured bacterium. RNAcentral describes it as "partial 16S ribosomal RNA". It matches the Rfam family "Bacterial small subunit ribosomal RNA", at positions 67 to 339 of the family's 1533-position model. The record is from RNAcentral.